This 462-nucleotide ribosomal RNA is filed under the name uncultured bacterium. RNAcentral describes it as "partial 16S ribosomal RNA". It matches the Rfam family "Bacterial small subunit ribosomal RNA", at positions 338 to 795 of the family's 1533-position model. The record is from RNAcentral.
CCUACGGGAGGCAGCAGUGAGGAAUAUUGGUCAAUGGACGCAAGUCUGAACCAGCCAAGUAGCGUGCAGGAUGACGGCCCUCCGGGUUGUAAACUGCUUUUAGUUGGGAAUAAAAGGGGGCUCGUGAGCCCCGUAUUGUAUGUACCAUCAGAAAAAGGACCGGCUAAUUCCGUGCCAGCAGCCGCGGUAAUACGGAGGAUUCAAGCGUUAUCCGGAUUUAUUGGGUUUAAAGGGUGCGUAGGCGGUCGGAUAAGUUAGAGGUGAAAUCCCGAGGCUCAACUUCGGAAUUGCCUCUGAUACUGUUCGGCUAGAGAGUAGUUGCGGUAGGCGGAAUGUAUGGUGUAGCGGUGAAAUGCUUAGAGAUCAUACAGAACACCGAUUGCGAAGGCAGCUUACCAAGCUACUUCUGACGUUGAGGCACGAAAGCGUGGGGAGCAAACAGGAUUAGAUACCCCAGUAGUC